UACGUAGGGUGCAAGCGUUAAUCGGAAUUACUGGGCGUAAAGCGUGCGCAGGCGGUUUUGUAAGUCAGAUGUGAAAUCCCCGGGCUUAACCUGGGAACUGCGUUUGAAACUACAAGGCUAGAGUGUGGCAGAGGGGGGUGGAAUUCCACGUGUAGCAGUGAAAUGCGUAGAGAUGUGGAGGAACACCGAUGGCGAAGGCAGCCCCCUGGGUUAACACUGACGCUCAGGCACGAAAGCUAGGGGAGCGAACAGG
This 253-nucleotide ribosomal RNA is filed under the name uncultured bacterium. Its description in RNAcentral is "partial 16S ribosomal RNA". It matches the Rfam family "Bacterial small subunit ribosomal RNA", at positions 524 to 776 of the family's 1533-position model. The record is from RNAcentral.